RNAcentral lists this ribosomal RNA (426 nucleotides) under uncultured prokaryote. Its description in RNAcentral is "bacterial SSU rRNA". It matches the Rfam family "Bacterial small subunit ribosomal RNA", at positions 355 to 796 of the family's 1533-position model. The record is from RNAcentral.
UGGGGAAUUUUCCGCAAUGGGCGCAAGCCUGACGGAGCAAUACCGCGUGAGGGAGGAAGGCUUUUGGGUUGUAAACCUCUUUUCUCAGGGAAGAAGCUCUGACGGUACCAGAGGAAUCAGCAUCGGCUAACUCCGUGCCAGCAGCCGCGGUAAGACGGAGGAUGCAAGCGUUAUCCGGAAUUAUUGGGCGUAAAGCGUCCGUAGGCGGUUUAUCAAGUCUGCUGUUAAAGACUACAGCUCAACUGUGGGAUGGCGGUGGAAACUGAGAGACUAGAGUGCGGUAGGGGUAGAGGGAAUUCCCAGUGUAGCGGUGAAAUGCGUAGAUAUUGGGAAGAACACCAGUGGCGAAGGCGCUCUACUGGGCCGCAACUGACGCUGAUGGACGAAAGCUAGGGGAGCGAAUGGGAUUAGAUACCCCUGUAGUCC